RNAcentral lists this ribosomal RNA (253 nucleotides) under uncultured bacterium. Its description in RNAcentral is "partial 16S ribosomal RNA". It matches the Rfam family "Bacterial small subunit ribosomal RNA", at positions 524 to 776 of the family's 1533-position model. The record is from RNAcentral.
UACAGAGGCCUCGAGCGUUAGGCGGAAUCACUGGGCUUAAGGCGUGUGUAGGCGGACUUCUAAGUACCUUGUGAAAUCCCACGGCUCACCCGUGGAACUGCUCGGUAUACUGGUCGUCUUGAGCCUUCUAGGGGCGAGUGGAACAAAUGGUGGAGCGGUGAAAUGCGUAGAUAUCAUUUGGAACGCCAAUGGUGAAAACAACUCGCUGGGGAAGUGCUGACGCUGAGACACGAAAGCCAGGGGAGCGAACGGG